CUGUUUAAUUUUGAACAGAUAUAUCAUGUUAAGGAGGGGUAUUUUUCGCAAAUACUCCUCAAUAACAUGAUAUAUCUGUUUAAUUACACCGAAUGUUAAUGUUCUAAAACGCAUUGAUGAUCGUGACGUUACAAGCGUCCAGUCGGAUAGAGUAUUUUUUGGCAAAUACCACGGCAGAGAGGGUAAAAAAGGCAUAUCCUUUUAGCAAAUACCCCGGCGGCGUUAAAAAUGAACGAUAUUCAUUUGAUAACAGUAAAUUGGUGAAAAAUACACUGGCUAUUAACCAAUCAAAACCCCGGAUUCUUACAUAAGGUGUUAUUAUGCAAAAAA
Molecule: long non-coding RNA, 330 nt
Filed under: Mytilus galloprovincialis (Mediterranean mussel)
Lineage: Eukaryota; Metazoa; Mollusca; Bivalvia; Mytilida; Mytilidae
Source: RNAcentral